Molecule: ribosomal RNA, 253 nt
Filed under: uncultured bacterium
Lineage: Bacteria
Description: partial 16S ribosomal RNA
Rfam family: Bacterial small subunit ribosomal RNA
Source: RNAcentral
UACAGAGGGGGCAAGCGUUGUUCGGAAUCACUGGGCGUAAAGGGUGCGUAGGCGGGUCUUUAAGUCAGGGGUGAAAUCCUGGAGCUCAACUCCAGAACUGCCUUUGAUACUGAAGAUCUUGAGUUCGGGAGAGGUGAGUGGAACUGCGAGUGUAGAGGUGAAAUUCGUAGAUAUUCGCAAGAACACCAGUGGCGAAGGCGGCUCACUGGCCCGAUACUGACGCUGAGGCACGAAAGCGUGGGGAGCAAACAGG